CUCUUACGAUCUAGGAAAUCGGCUUGGGGAAUUUUUAUUAACUUGUUAACUAAACAUGUUAUUCUGAGCUACACAUUCUUUUAUACAAAAUUGAGUAUUU
Non-coding RNA from Vicugna pacos (alpaca), 100 nucleotides. The record is from RefSeq and is a predicted model, not a curated record. Lineage: Eukaryota; Metazoa; Chordata; Mammalia; Artiodactyla; Camelidae.